Molecule: ribosomal RNA, 1372 nt
Filed under: uncultured bacterium
Lineage: Bacteria
Description: bacterial SSU rRNA
Rfam family: Bacterial small subunit ribosomal RNA
Source: RNAcentral
GAUGAACGCCGGCGGCGUGCCUAAUACAUGCAAGUCGAGCGAACGGACGAGAAGCUUGCUUCUCUGAUGUUAGCGGCGGACGGGUGAGUAACACGUGGAUAACCUACCUAUAAGACUGGGAUAACUUCGGGAAACCGGAGCUAAUACCGGAUAAUAUUUUGAACCGCAUGGUUCAAAAGUGAAAGACGGUCUUGCUGUCACUUAUAGAUGGAUCCGCGCUGCAUUAGCUAGUUGGUAAGGUAACGGCUUACCAAGGCAACGAUGCAUAGCCGACCUGAGAGGGUGAUCGGCCACACUGGAACUGAGACACGGUCCAGACUCCUACGGGAGGCAGCAGUAGGGAAUCUUCCGCAAUGGGCGAAAGCCUGACGGAGCAACGCCGCGUGAGUGACGAAGGUCUUCGGAUCGUAAAACUCUGUUAUUAGGGAAGAACAUAUGUGUAAGUAACUGUGCACAUCUUGACGGUACCUAAUCAGAAAGCCACGGCUAACUACGUGCCAGCAGCCGCGGUAAUACGUAGGUGGCAAGCGUUAUCUGGAAUUAUUGGGCGUAAAGCGCGCGUAGGCGGUUUUUUAAGUCUGAUGUGAAAGCCCACGGCUCAACCGUGGAGGGUCAUUGGAAACUGGAAAACUUGAGUGCAGAAGAGGAAAGUGGAAUUCCAUGUGUAGCGGUGAAAUGCGCAGAGAUAUGGAGGAACACCAGUGGCGAAGGCGACUUUCUGGUCUGUAACUGACGCUGAUGUGCGAAAGCGUGGGGAUCAAACAGGAUUAGAUACCCUGGUAGUCCACGCCGUAAACGAUGAGUGCUAAGUGUUAGGGGGUUUCCGCCCCUUAGUGCUGCAGCUAACGCAUUAAGCACUCCGCCUGGGGAGUACGACCGCAAGGUUGAAACUCAAAGGAAUUGACGGGGACCCGCACAAGCGGUGGAGCAUGUGGUUUAAUUCGAAGCAACGCGAAGAACCUUACCAAAUCUUGACAUCCUUUGACAACUCUAGAGAUAGAGCUUUCCCCUUCGGGGGACAAAGUGACAGGUGGUGCAUGGUUGUCGUCAGCUCGUGUCGUGAGAUGUUGGGUUAAGUCCCGCAACGAGCGCAACCCUUAAGCUUAGUUGCCAUCAUUAAGUUGGGCACUCUAAGUUGACUGCCGGUGACAAACCGGAGGAAGGUGGGGAUGACGUCAAAUCAUCAUGCCCCUUAUGAUUUGGGCUACACACGUGCUACAAUGGACAAUACAAAGGGCAGCGAAACCGCGAGGUCAAGCAAAUCCCAUAAAGUUGUUCUCAGUUCGGAUUGUAGUCUGCAACUCGACUACAUGAAGCUGGAAUCGCUAGUAAUCGUAGAUCAGCAUGCUACGGUGAAUACGUUCCCGGGUCU